Molecule: long non-coding RNA, 432 nt
Organism: Ictalurus punctatus (channel catfish)
Lineage: Eukaryota; Metazoa; Chordata; Actinopteri; Siluriformes; Ictaluridae
Source: Ensembl
GGCCGACAUCUUUCAAACUCGCUUCACCCGAGGGGGGAUAAAAACCAUAUUAAACAUCGAAAAAUACACCGAAAACACUGCAAAAAGAUAGUGAGAUUUAAAGAAAAAACAAACAAAAAUAACAACGGAACGGAACUCUGCCAGGCCUAGUCAAUUAUCUUUUUAAAAAAUCUGGAGGAAAAAAAAAAAGAGAAAAAUGGCAUAAAAAUGAAGAGAAAAAAAAAGGAAAAUUGGGGGUUUUAGAGAAAAAUUCCAUAAAAAGUAUAGAGCAGAGGGGGUGGAACCAAGACCCUCUAGCAUUCCUUAUUUUAUUCAUUUUAUUCCUCGCCUGCUGUGAGUUCGGUUCUGGGUACGAAGAGGAGAACCGCACGGGCGAACAAUGUGAACAAUUCUGCGGAGUUGAAAAUGUGCUUGCUGAAAUAAAGUUAAUUC